UUUAAAUAUUAUAUUUUGUGCUUUAAAGAUUAAAAGGGAAAGUAGUGUAAAUCUACUACAGCCCCCGCUACUGUAAUGGAAGACUGAACUCUAAGUUUGUUAAAGAUCCACUGAGAAAUUAUUCUUGGGAAGGAAGAGUUUUGGGAUGAGGCCAAAGUCAGGAGACCUGCCUAAAAGUUUUACGAAAA
RNAcentral lists this non-coding RNA (188 nucleotides) under Clostridium puniceum. Lineage: Bacteria; Bacillati; Bacillota; Clostridia; Eubacteriales; Clostridiaceae. The record is from RNAcentral.